GAUUUUGCCGGCUAGAUCUGAUAGUUAGUUAACUACUCCGUAGUUAACUACGGAGUAGAGAUAAGUUAGAUGACACAUCCUCCCACAUCUACAGCGCGUCUCCUUCUCACCUUCGCCUUUCGGCCACAUUCCGAGUGUUUAUUUUCUUUUUUCUACAAGUUCGCAGCUAAACCUUUUUUUCUUUUCUUUUUUUUCUUUUUGAUGAUACAUAAGCUUUAUAUUAUUGGCUAACUUUAUGUGGGACAUUACUCGGAUCUACAUGCCACCGAAUCAUGUGACUUGCACCACUCCAAUUAGCUGGAAUAUCAAUACUCCGGAUAUUUGGCAUCAAAUGCUCUUAUGUGGGAGAAAUAUCAAGGUAGGCCACCGUAUUUAAAAAGUAGAGAACAAGAGGAGAGGACAAAAUAAAAACACCCAAUUGAGAACAGCUUGUCCGUAUCGAUCGUGGAAACAUGGAUAGUGUGCACCGCGAACAAAACUUGUCUGCUAGGUGGAUCGAUUCCGGUGACAAAUUAGCUUGCGAAGAAUAUAUAUGGGGUCAAAAGGGAAAGCAUUGACGCACAUCCAAACCAAGGACAGGUCGGGUCAGGUCCAGUUUCAAAGCGAAUUCAAAACAUAAAUUAUACAAGUAGAUAUCGAAUAUACAUACACACGCACACCACACGCACAUACAUAGAUAAAGAAUAAAAUAAAAACUUAAGAAAAAUAUAAUGAAAUAAAACCAAACAAUUGGCGAUACCGGCA
Molecule: small RNA, 744 nt
Filed under: Histoplasma ohiense
Lineage: Eukaryota; Fungi; Ascomycota; Eurotiomycetes; Onygenales; Ajellomycetaceae
Description: hypothetical lncRNA
Source: RNAcentral